Molecule: ribosomal RNA, 3010 nt
Filed under: Salmonella enterica subsp. enterica serovar Newport
Lineage: Bacteria; Pseudomonadati; Pseudomonadota; Gammaproteobacteria; Enterobacterales; Enterobacteriaceae
Also listed under: 3 other names
Description: bacterial LSU rRNA
Rfam family: Bacterial large subunit ribosomal RNA
Source: RNAcentral
GGGUUGUGAGGUUAAGCGACUAAGCGUACACGGUGGAUGCCCUGGCAGUCAGAGGCGAUGAAGGGCGUGCUAAUCUGCGAUAAGCGCCGGUAAGGUGAUAUGAACCGUUAUAACCGGCGAUACCCGAAUGGGGAAACCCAGUGUGAUUCGUCACACUAUCAUUAACUGAAUCCAUAGGUUAAUGAGGCGAACCGGGGGAACUGAAACAUCUAAGUACCCCGAGGAAAAGAAAUCAACCGAGAUUCCCCCAGUAGCGGCGAGCGAACGGGGAGGAGCCCAGAGCCUGAAUCAGCAUGUGUGUUAGUGGAAGCGUCUGGAAAGGCGCGCGAUACAGGGUGACAGCCCCGUACACAAAAGCGCAUGUGCUGUGAGCUCGAUGAGUAGGGCGGGACACGUGGUAUCCUGUCUGAAUAUGGGGGGACCAUCCUCCAAGGCUAAAUACUCCUGACUGACCGAUAGUGAACCAGUACCGUGAGGGAAAGGCGAAAAGAACCCCGGCGAGGGGAGUGAAAAAGAACCUGAAACCGUGUACGUACAAGCAGUGGGAGCACAGGUUUACCUGUGUGACUGCGUACCUUUUGUAUAAUGGGUCAGCGACUUAUAUUCUGUAGCAAGGUUAACCGUAUAGGGGAGCCGAAGGGAAACCGAGUCUUAACCGGGCGUUAAGUUGCAGGGUAUAGACCCGAAACCCGGUGAUCUAGCCAUGGGCAGGUUGAAGGUUGGGUAACACUAACUGGAGGACCGAACCGACUAAUGUUGAAAAAUUAGCGGAUGACCUGUGGCUGGGGGUGAAAGGCCAAUCAAACCGGGAGAUAGCUGGUUCUCCCCGAAAGCUAUUUAGGUAGCGCCUCGUGAAUUCAUCUCCGGGGGUAGAGCACUGUUUCGGCUAGGGGGCCAUCCCGGCUUACCAACCCGAUGCAAACUGCGAAUACCGGAGAAUGUUAUCACGGGAGACACACGGCGGGUGCUAACGUCCGUCGUGAAGAGGGAAACAACCCAGACCGCCAGCUAAGGUCCCAAAGUCAUGGUUAAGUGGGAAACGAUGUGGGAAGGCCCAGACAGCCAGGAUGUUGGCUUAGAAGCAGCCAUCAUUUAAAGAAAGCGUAAUAGCUCACUGGUCGAGUCGGCCUGCGCGGAAGAUGUAACGGGGCUAAACCAUGCACCGAAGCUGCGGCAGCGAACGUAUCACUUAAAGCGAUUCAGCGGGUUACGAUUGACGGAGCGAAGCGACGUCAAAGCGUAUACAAAGUCGAGUCGGUUUAAGGAUACGUUCGUUGGGUAGGGGAGCGUUCUGUAAGCCUGUGAAGGUGUGUCGUGAGGCAUGCUGGAGGUAUCAGAAGUGCGAAUGCUGACAUAAGUAACGAUAAAGCGGGUGAAAAGCCCGCUCGCCGGAAGACCAAGGGUUCCUGUCCAACGUUAAUCGGGGCAGGGUGAGUCGACCCCUAAGGCGAGGCCGAAAGGCGUAGUCGAUGGGAAACGGGUUAAUAUUCCCGUACUUGGUGUUACUGCGAAGGGGGGACGGAGAAGGCUAUGUUGGCCGGGCGACGGUUGUCCCGGUUUAAGCGUGUAGGUGUGUGUUCCAGGUAAAUCCGGUUCACUUUAACACUGAGGCGUGACGACGAGGCACUACGGUGCUGAAGCAACAAAUGCCCUGCUUCCAGGAAAAGCCUCUAAGCAUCAGGUAACAUCAAAUCGUACCCCAAACCGACACAGGUGGUCAGGUAGAGAAUACCAAGGCGCUUGAGAGAACUCGGGUGAAGGAACUAGGCAAAAUGGUGCCGUAACUUCGGGAGAAGGCACGCUGACACGUAGGUGAAGUGAUUUACUCAUGGAGCUGAAGUCAGUCGAAGAUACCAGCUGGCUGCAACUGUUUAUUAAAAACACAGCACUGUGCAAACACGAAAGUGGACGUAUACGGUGUGACGCCUGCCCGGUGCCGGAAGGUUAAUUGAUGGGGUCAGCGCAAGCGAAGCUCCUGAUCGAAGCCCCGGUAAACGGCGGCCGUAACUAUAACGGUCCUAAGGUAGCGAAAUUCCUUGUCGGGUAAGUUCCGACCUGCACGAAUGGCGUAAUGAUGGCCAGGCUGUCUCCACCCGAGACUCAGUGAAAUUGAACUCGCUGUGAAGAUGCAGUGUACCCGCGGCAAGACGGAAAGACCCCGUGAACCUUUACUAUAGCUUGACACUGAACAUUGAGCCUUGAUGUGUAGGAUAGGUGGGAGGCUUUGAAGCGUGGACGCCAGUCUGCGUGGAGCCGACCUUGAAAUACCACCCUUUAAUGUUUGAUGUUCUAACGUGGACCCGUGAUCCGGGUUGCGGACAGUGUCUGGUGGGUAGUUUGACUGGGGCGGUCUCCUCCUAAAGAGUAACGGAGGAGCACGAAGGUUGGCUAAUCCUGGUCGGACAUCAGGAGGUUAGUGCAAUGGCAUAAGCCAGCUUGACUGCGAGCGUGACGGCGCGAGCAGGUGCGAAAGCAGGUCAUAGUGAUCCGGUGGUUCUGAAUGGAAGGGCCAUCGCUCAACGGAUAAAAGGUACUCCGGGGAUAACAGGCUGAUACCGCCCAAGAGUUCAUAUCGACGGCGGUGUUUGGCACCUCGAUGUCGGCUCAUCACAUCCUGGGGCUGAAGUAGGUCCCAAGGGUAUGGCUGUUCGCCAUUUAAAGUGGUACGCGAGCUGGGUUUAGAACGUCGUGAGACAGUUCGGUCCCUAUCUGCCGUGGGCGCUGGAGAACUGAGGGGGGCUGCUCCUAGUACGAGAGGACCGGAGUGGACGCAUCACUGGUGUUCGGGUUGUCAUGCCAAUGGCACUGCCCGGUAGCUAAAUGCGGAAGAGAUAAGUGCUGAAAGCAUCUAAGCACGAAACUUGCCCCGAGAUGAGUUCUCCCUGAGACUUAAAGUCUCCUGAAGGAACGUUGAAGACGACGACGUUGAUAGGCCGGGUGUGUAAGCGCAGCGAUGCGUUGAGCUAACCGGUACUAAUGAACCGUGAGGCUUAACCUUACAACGCCGAAG